This 283-nucleotide small RNA is filed under the name Neogale vison (American mink). RNAcentral describes it as "Neovison vison (American mink) 7SK RNA (ENSNVIG00000017693.1)". It matches the Rfam family "7SK RNA", at positions 1 to 186 of the family's 331-position model. Rfam says of the family: 7SK was discovered as an abundant small nuclear RNA in the mid-70s but a possible function has only recently been suggested. Two independent studies have found that 7SK RNA binds the CDK9/cyclin T complex (known as elongation factor P-TEFb). P-TEFb activates transcription by phosphorylating the C-terminal domain of RNA polymerase II. The record is from Rfam by way of RNAcentral. Lineage: Eukaryota; Metazoa; Chordata; Mammalia; Carnivora; Mustelidae.
AAAUGUAAAGCAAGCUGUCUGUGUCAUCUGUCAUCCACUGAUUGCCAUAAUUGAUUUGGUGGAUCUGUCCUGCUAGGAAGGAGUCCCCUUUCUUCCCGGUUCUGCUUCAUGUGUCUCUCCCAAAGCUGUGUGCUUCAUUGAAGAGAGAGGAGAGCCAGGAUCUACAUGGAGUCAAGUUCUCCCAUAGGACUGUCCAGGACUCAGUAAGUAGGUUAUCCCACCUGACUGUGACUCUCCCACUAGAUUAUGAGCCACCUGAAGGUGAAGAUCUCAUCUUUGUGCU